Unclassified non-coding RNA from Mustela putorius furo (domestic ferret), 345 nucleotides. Its record names the gene 7SK. It matches the Rfam family "7SK RNA". Rfam says of the family: 7SK was discovered as an abundant small nuclear RNA in the mid-70s but a possible function has only recently been suggested. Two independent studies have found that 7SK RNA binds the CDK9/cyclin T complex (known as elongation factor P-TEFb). The record is from Ensembl. NCBI's taxonomy places the organism in Eukaryota, Metazoa, Chordata, Mammalia, Carnivora, Mustelidae.
GGAUGUGAGAGCCAUCUGACUGCAACAUCUGUCACCUUGUUGAUCACCAAGGUUGAUUUAGCUGAUCUGGUUGGCUUGGCAGGUGUUCCUAUCCUCUCUCACCACUCUGUGUGUGCAUCCUUCUAAAAGCUAUGUGCUCAGUCUGACACUAGGAUCUUCCCUGAUAGAGGAGGACCAUUUUUUGAUCAAGGGUAUAGGGAGAGCUGCAUCCUCUACUCCCCACCCUCUGGAGAACCUCCAAAUAAGCUUUCUAGGUCCAUUUGUAGGAGAAUGUCAGACACUCAAGCUUCCAAGACCCCAAACACAGCCAAAUGAGGUCCUGAGUGUCACAGUCUGCCUUUCUCU